GCCGCCGCUCGAACCUUUGACCACGGCGGCUGUCAGAAGGUUGGUCCUAAGGUAGCAAAAUUCAUUGACAGGUAAAUUCCGUCCAGCAUGAGCGAGGAAACGACUUUCUCUCUGUCACUAGCAUUGUUUCUUAGAAAUUGAGUUAUUCUUGUUUACGAGAAAAGUAACGGCCAGACGAAAAGACCCUG
RNAcentral lists this ribosomal RNA (188 nucleotides) under Karenia brevis. Its description in RNAcentral is "partial Bacterial large subunit ribosomal RNA". It matches the Rfam family "Bacterial large subunit ribosomal RNA", at positions 1904 to 2093 of the family's 2925-position model. The record is from RNAcentral. Lineage: Eukaryota; Dinophyceae; Gymnodiniales; Kareniaceae.